Molecule: ribosomal RNA, 437 nt
Filed under: uncultured bacterium
Lineage: Bacteria
Description: bacterial SSU rRNA
Rfam family: Bacterial small subunit ribosomal RNA
Source: RNAcentral
AGAGUUUGAUCCUGGCUCAGAUUGAACGCUGGCGGCAUGCUUUACACAUGCAAGUCGAACGGCAGCACGGGGGCAACCCUGGUGGCGAGUGGCGAACGGGUGAGUAAUAUAUCGGAACAUAUCCGGAAGUGGGGGAUAACGUACCGAAAGGUACGCUAAUACCGCAUAUGCCCUGAGGGGGAAAGGGGGGGAUCGCAAGACCUCUCGCUUUCGGAGUGGCCGAUAUCGGAUUAGCUAGUUGGUGAGGUAAAGGCUCACCAAGGCGACGAUCCGUAGCUGGUCUGAGAGGACGACCAGCCACACUGGAACUGAGACACGGUCCAGACUCCUACGGGAGGCAGCAGUGGGGAAUUUUGGACAAUGGGCGAAAGCCUGAUCCAGCCAUGCCGCGUGAGUGAAGAAGGCCUUCGGGUUGUAAAGCUCUUUCAGACGGAAAG